UACAGAGGGUGCAAACGUUGCUCGGAAUCAUUGGGCGUAAAGCGCGCGUAGGCGGACCUGCAAGUCGGGGGUGAAAGCCCGAGGCUCAACCUCGGAACUGCCUUCGAUACUGCGGGUCUCGAGUCCGGGAGAGGUGAGUGGAAUUCCUAGUGUAGAGGUGAAAUUCGUAGAUAUUAGGAAGAACACCAGUGGCGAAGGCGGCUCACUGGCCCGGUACUGACGCUGAGGCGCGAAAGCGUGGGGAGCAAACAGG
Molecule: ribosomal RNA, 253 nt
Filed under: uncultured bacterium
Lineage: Bacteria
Description: partial 16S ribosomal RNA
Rfam family: Bacterial small subunit ribosomal RNA
Source: RNAcentral